CAAUAGCAUAUAUUAACGUUGUUGCAGUUGAGAAGCUCGUAGUUGAACUUUUGGUAGGAGCGACCUGGCCUUGGGCGCAUGCCCUUGUUUGCCGUGUGUCGUAUCUGGCCAUCCUUUUCCGCUUCGGCGGGAAUCCUUUACUGUGAGUAAACUGGAGUGCUCAAAACAAGACGUUUGUUUGGUACAUUAAAGCAUGGAAUAAUAAGAUAGGACCUGGUUACUAUUUUGUUGGUUUGCAUAGCUAGGUAAUGAUUAACAGGGACAGUUGGGGGUAUUCGUAUUUAAUUGUCAGAGGUGAAAUUCUUGGAUUUAUGAAAGACGAACGACUGCGAAAGCAUUUACCAAGGAUGUUUUCAUUAA
RNAcentral lists this ribosomal RNA (360 nucleotides) under uncultured eukaryote. Its description in RNAcentral is "partial 18S ribosomal RNA". It matches the Rfam family "Eukaryotic small subunit ribosomal RNA", at positions 592 to 976 of the family's 1831-position model. The record is from RNAcentral.